This is a non-coding RNA of Lolium perenne, 911 nucleotides long. NCBI's taxonomy places the organism in Eukaryota, Viridiplantae, Streptophyta, Magnoliopsida, Poales, Poaceae. The record is from RefSeq and is a predicted model, not a curated record.
CGCGACGGUGAGGCUUGGCACGCCGGAGCUACGCCCAGGUGGACUACGCAUGAGCGAAGUCCCUGGCCUCCGCAGCGCGGGCGAGGAGCAGCGCUAGCUGAUGAGGUGUGCGGUCACCGUCUCCUGCCUCAGCUCCGCCGGCUAUCUAGGGUUGCCACGGCCAGGAAUAGGUGCCCCCGUUCCUCGCGCCCGUGCGUCCUUCUCCCGGACACCAUGGCGUUGGGGACGAAUCAUGUGUGAACGUAGAGCAGCAGUACACGCUGGAUGCGAACUCGUGCACUCGCUUGAGGGCGAGUUCGGCCAGUGCAUAUGACCCCAAGGUCCUCAGUGUGAACUGUUCCAGGAAACUACUGUGUGCCGAUUCUUUAUUGAUGCUCAUGAAGCAGCUGCCGGCCAAGUAGGGAUAUUUGUGUUGUGACAGACUGCUCCGGGAAGAAAAAGAGGACGAAGGUAUCGCUGCCAGCAGGAGCUCCUUCUAUUGACGCUGUUAUGAUAUUCUAUGGAGAAGUUGCGUUCGACGAGGGUUCUGAUCAGAUGCACGAGGGCUUGGUUGCAGCGGAUAUUUAAUUUUGUUUACUGGAAAAUUGCCAUGAGGAAUUAUUCACAAGCUUAUCUUGUGGUCUGUAGGUGUUGAACAUACUCCAUCAUGAAUAAGGGGCUGGAAAAGAACAGGCAAGUCAAGUGGCUGAUUUUUGCAGCAGAGACGUUCACGAGGCUAAAAGGUUAGGCCAGGAACAACCUUAGUUGAGGCAUUACUACAUAAAUAUGAAGGACCAUCUUACCAGCUGUUGUAAAUACAUGAAGAUUAGUUUUAGGGCUUUGGAUCAUAAUACGGACUACAUAGAUGAAUUCCAAGAAACGAGUCCAAGUUCUUUCAGCUUGCAGUUUUCCAAAUAAACUCCUCCACCUAG